UACGUAGGGGGCAAGCGUUGUCCGGAAUCAUUGGGCGUAAAGAGCGUGUAGGCGGCCAGAUAAGUCCGCUGUGAAAUCUCGAGGCUCAACUUCGAGCUGUCGGUGGAAACUGUCUGGCUAGAGUCCGGAAGAGGAGAAUGGAAUUCCCGGUGUAGCGGUGAAAUGCGCAGAUAUCGGGAGGAACACCGGUGGCGAAGGCGGUUCUCUGGGCCUUACCUGACGCUGAGGAGCGAAAGCGUGGGGAGCGAACAGG
Molecule: ribosomal RNA, 253 nt
Filed under: uncultured bacterium
Lineage: Bacteria
Description: partial 16S ribosomal RNA
Rfam family: Bacterial small subunit ribosomal RNA
Source: RNAcentral